AGUGAACGCUGGCGGUAGGCCUAACACAUGCAAGUCGAACGACAGCACAGUAAGAGCUUGCUCUUACGGGUGGCGAGUGGCGGACGGGUGAGGAGUACAUCGGAAUCUUCUUUUUCGUGGGGGAUAACGUAGGGAAACUUACGCUAAUACCGCAUACGACCUACGGGUGAAAGCAGGGGAUCUUCGGACCUUUCCCGAUUCUUUGAGCCGAUGUCGGAUUAGCUAGUUGGCGGGGUAAAGGCCCACCAAGGCGACGCUCCGUAGCUGGUCUGAGAGGAUGAUCAGCCACACUGGAACUGAGACACGGUCCAGACUCCUACGGGAGGCAGCAGUGGGGAAUAUUGGACAAUGGGCGCAAGCCUGAUCCAGCCAUACCGCGUGGGUGAAGAAGGCCUUCGGGUUGUAAAGCCCUUUUGAUGGGAAAGAAAAGCAGCAGGUUAAUACCCCGCUGUUCUGACGGUACCCAAAGAAUAAGCACCGGCUAACUUCGUG
RNAcentral lists this ribosomal RNA (492 nucleotides) under uncultured bacterium. RNAcentral describes it as "partial 16S ribosomal RNA". It matches the Rfam family "Bacterial small subunit ribosomal RNA", at positions 29 to 507 of the family's 1533-position model. The record is from RNAcentral.